This 459-nucleotide ribosomal RNA is filed under the name uncultured bacterium. Its description in RNAcentral is "partial 16S ribosomal RNA". It matches the Rfam family "Bacterial small subunit ribosomal RNA", at positions 338 to 795 of the family's 1533-position model. The record is from RNAcentral.
CCUACGGGAGGCUGCAGUGAGGAAUAUUGGUCAAUGGGCGGGAGCCUGAACCAGCCAAGCCGCGUGAGGGAUGAAGGUACAGAGUAUCGUAAACCUCUUUUGUCAGGGAACAAAGGCGGGGACGCGUCCCCGGAUGAGUGUACCUGAAGAAAAAGCAUCGGCUAACUCCGUGCCAGCAGCCGCGGUAAUACGGAGGAUGCGAGCGUUAUCCGGAUUUAUUGGGUUUAAAGGGUGCGCAGGCGGUCUGUUAAGUCAGCGGUCAAAGCCCGGGGCUCAACCCCGGCCCGCCGUUGAAACUGGCAGUCUCGAGUUGGAGAGAAGUAUGCGGAAUGCGCGGUGUAGCGGUGAAAUGCAUAGAUAUCGCGCAGAACUCCGAUUGCGAAGGCAGCAUGCCGGCUCCACACUGACGCUGAGGCACGAAAGCGUGGGUAUCGAACAGGAUUAGAUACCCGGGUAGUC